AGAAUCAACGCUGGCGGCGUGCCUAACACAUGCAAGUCGCACGAGAAAGGGACUUCGGUCCUAAGUACAGUGGCGCACGGGUGAGUAACACGUGAAUUAUCUACCUCCGAGUGGGGAAUAACUGAGAGAAAUCUUAGCUAAUACCGCAUAACACUUACGAGUCAAAGCAGCAAUGCGCUUGGAGAGGAGUUCGCGGCAGAUUAGUUAGUUGGCGGGGUAAUGGCCCACCAAGACGAUGAUCUGUAUCCGGCCUGAGAGGGCGCACGGACACACUGGAACUGAAACACGGUCCAGACUCCUACGGAGGCAGCAGUGGGGAAUUUUGCGCAAUGGGGGAAACCCUGACGCAGCAACGCCGCGUGGAGGAUGAAAUAUCUUGGUAUGUAAACUCCUUUCGAUGGGGAAGAUAAUGACGGUACCCAUAGAAGAAGCCCCGGCUAACUUCGUGCCAGCAGCCGC
Molecule: ribosomal RNA, 459 nt
Filed under: uncultured bacterium
Lineage: Bacteria
Description: SSU rRNA
Rfam family: Bacterial small subunit ribosomal RNA
Source: RNAcentral